Molecule: long non-coding RNA, 430 nt
Filed under: Mytilus galloprovincialis (Mediterranean mussel)
Lineage: Eukaryota; Metazoa; Mollusca; Bivalvia; Mytilida; Mytilidae
Source: RNAcentral
GCUUUGUCUGUCAUCACUAUUAGCAUCAGACCUAUUAAACCAAAAACCAAUUAUUUAAGUUCGUAUUUCAAUGCUUGACAUUGACGUUUCAUGUUAUAAGCGUUUUACUCGAACUGAAACUUAAAAACAAAGUCGUUUUUCAAAACCCGAUCCCAAAGAUUCACAAUUCGAGAAAUUGUACCGGUCACUGUAAGGUAUAUUUCUUGUUUUUUUGAAAGAUCAAAUAUAAUUGCUUUCCUAAAUUGAGCUACAUUUUCGCUGUAUUCUGGAUUAGCAUGCCACAUUGGUGGAUCACCAAUCCAAAGAUUUGAAAAGUUCCACACACUUUUUUCACUAUUGAAUUCAAUAACAUCUGUGAAUGAAUUGAUCCCAGCAAUCCUCUGUCUUUGAACUACUUUCUUGGUUAUGUCAUUCAAAAUUGAAACAAAUU